AACAAACUGUGUAUGACGAGCGUAUGCUAGUCUACGUGUGUUCAAAUGUCACUAAGCUCUAUGCCUCACGUUGAGUUGUUUUUACUCAACUAUUUGUUUUCUGAGUGUUUGACAAAUUCAAUGAUCGAUUAACUUAUUUUAUGUGAUUAAAAUAAUAUCCAGUCUAUAUAUACUGCGUUUUCGUAGCGAUUAUAAAGACGUUAAGUGACAUUUCGAGUGAUUCCGUAACUAGUUUUGCCAGAAAGUACGCAAGUUCAAGUAUUAAACUUGUAUGGUAUAAAUGCAAUAAACUGAACAAGUAUUUUUUUACUCAAAUUUGGGUUUUAGUCGAACUACUCAAAAGUUGGGUUAAAUGUACGUAUUUGACAGGAUGGAAAUCACCCAUUUCUUGAGUUCCACUGUCUUUACUUAAUUUUGAGUUUAAAAAAACUCAUUUUUGAGUACUUCGAUUUCUCCGUGUAGGCACACAAAAUCUAUGCAUAUUGUUCGUUAUUAUUGCCAUAGCGUAGCUCGCGGUUUAAAAUAAAAGUAAGUUGCAUUUCUAUCAUCGUCAAAAGCACAAUGCAGUGUUGUUUUCCUUCUUGCGGUGUCGAUUUUCAUAAUCUGAAGAACAAUUAUAACGAUGAUAACAUUUCGCAUCAUAAGUUUCCAACCAAUAUCGAUGCGCGGGAUCAAUGGCUAAAUGCCAUUGCUAACGCGGAUAAAAAUUGUUAAGAAAACUAAAGACAUUCAAUGCACAUUCUCACAUACCAGCUAUGCGCAGUUUUUGUCUUGUUUGGCGCAUUUUGUCCCAUUUUCUCUUAUACGGAUGGUAAACAUUCAACAAAUAUAUGAGUGUGCGUGAAAAUUGCAACUGGAGUAUAAAUUUACACGGAGAAAUCGGCAAAUGCUAUUUAACAUAUUAUAAAUGACAUUCCAAAUAUUAACCCACUUUAAUCAUUGCAACUGAUAACAAAAACGCUUGGCCGCAAUUUUUUUAUACUUUGCAAAUCUUAUUUAUGAGAUAUAAUAAGCUGAGCAUAUGACAUAGCAGAUAUUACUCUAGGGACUUUAUAAAAUUCACUAGUCAUUUUCUUCACCUAUUGUACAAAAUGGAAGCCAUCGCAAACAUCUCCAUAUUUUCACGUGUGUUUUCACCUUUUCCAUAAGUUUAAUUCCAUGACAAAUUGCAUUUAAAAAACAUGCACCAUUCACGAAAACAAAUUCGUUCUGUUUGGCCUCGUAUCAGAGCGCGUCGCGGACGGCUCCAUUUUCUGAUCAUUAAUCGGCAUACCAGGAUCUUCUUUGAAAUUGGAAGCUAUGAACAUCAAGCAACAAGAAUUAUUGUCGUUUCGUUAAUCGAGUGAAACUGGCCCGGAAAGAAUCAAACCAAACGGUUCUGUUUCGCGCCACUCCGUGUCGGAUCCGUACGAUCUGCAACGAGGUUCGUGGCUCGAUAUGGAUGGUCAUGAUUAAGGUUUCACGGAUUCUACGAGGAUAUCGUCGAAAUGUUUUACUCUAGUAGAAGAUGUAGUAUAUUUAUUUUAGUAAAUUAUUAUUUAUCACA
Molecule: long non-coding RNA, 1546 nt
Organism: Aedes aegypti (yellow fever mosquito)
Lineage: Eukaryota; Metazoa; Arthropoda; Insecta; Diptera; Culicidae
Exons: 2
Source: RefSeq, a predicted model, not a curated record